AACGAACGCUGGCGGCGCGCCUAACACAUGCAAGUCGAACGAGAAGGCGUAGCAAUACGCUUGUACAGUGGCGAACGGGUGAGGAACACGUGGGUAACCUACCCUCGAGUGGGGAAUAACCAACCGAAAGGUUGGCUAAUGCCGCGUAAGCUUCCAUCUCUUCGGAGGUGGAAGGAAAGCUGUACCGUGGGUACAGCGCUCAAGGAUGGGCUCACGUCCUAUCAGCUUGUUGGUAGGGAACGGCCUACCAAGGCAACGACGGGUAGCUGGUCUGAGAGGGCGAUCAGCCACACUGGCACUGCGACACGGGCCAGACUCCUACGGGAGGCAGCAGUGAGGAAUAUUGCGCAAUGGGCGAAAGCCUGACGCAGCGACGCCGCGUGGGGGA
Molecule: ribosomal RNA, 388 nt
Filed under: uncultured bacterium
Lineage: Bacteria
Description: bacterial SSU rRNA
Rfam family: Bacterial small subunit ribosomal RNA
Source: RNAcentral